AUUGAACGCUGGCGGCAGGCUUAACACAUGCAAGUCGAGCGGGGUGAUGGUGCUUGCACUAUCACUUAGCGGCGGACGGGUGAGUAAUGCUUAGGAAUCUGCCUAUUAGUGGGGGACAACAUCUCGAAAGGGAUGCUAAUACCGCAUACGUCCCACGGGAGAAAGCAGGGGAUCACUUGUGACCUUGCGCUAAUAGAUGAGCCUAAGUCGGAUUAGCUAGUUGGUGGGGUAAAGGCCUACCAAGGCGACGAUCUGUAGCGGGUCUGAGAGGAUGAGCCGCCACACUGGGACUGAGACACGGCCCAGACUCCGACGGGAGGCAGCAGGGGGGAAUAUUGGACAAGGGGGGGAACCCUGAUCCAGCCAUGCCGCGUGUGUGAAGAAGGCCUUAUGGUUGUAAAGCACUUUAAGCGAGUAGGAGGCUCUUUUGGUUAAUACCCAAGAUGAGUGGACGUUACUCGCAGAAUAAGCACCGGCUAACUCUGUGCCAGCCGCCGCCGUAA
Molecule: ribosomal RNA, 503 nt
Filed under: uncultured bacterium
Lineage: Bacteria
Description: partial 16S ribosomal RNA
Rfam family: Bacterial small subunit ribosomal RNA
Source: RNAcentral